AAGUAAGCUUCACUUUAUGCAUUUUGUUCUGAUGAUGUAAUUUGUGAUUUGGUGCUCAACAAAUAAAGAUUUAUUGAUUGAAAUAUUUGACAGAAGUACUAUAAACCAAAUAUAAAUAAUGUUCUGAUUUUUUUUUUUAGAUCAACAGCUCACUUUGUGUGCUGCUCUCUAUUGAGAGGAGUGUUACGGCUGCUUACCAUCCCCAAACAAAUGGGCUUGAUGAGAAAACCAAUGAUAACAUCAAACGGGCACUUAAAAAGCUUGUUAAUGAUCAGCAGGAUGACUGGGACCAGUACCUGGAUGCAAGUCUUUUUUCGCUGAGAUCCAAAAUGCAAACCACAACAAAAUUCUCACCAUUUCUUUUAAUGUAUGGGCGAGAAGCUGGAUUUCCAUCAGAAGUGCCUGUUGAACUGCCGUCCAAAAACUUUGGUCUUCUAAAGAUACAGGACAAGUGGAAGCGGUCGUGGGACCAUACAAAAUUUAUGAUACCUCUUUUAGAACACUAUCGGGACAUGGCUGGCUUUCAGAUGAGAUCAUUGAUGCAUACCUGCACUGCAUUAUGAAAUUAGCCAAGAUACCUGUGCAUUGUUUGAAUGCUGUACUUGGGUCCUCUGUCUUUCAUCGUGGCCAUUUCAGAGUUUUUCAAAAGGUAAUAUGGUUUUAUUACAGACUAUGUAACCUUAUACACAUGCAUGUUGGAACUUUGGAUUUUAAGUGCUCUCUUCUAUUUUUAGAUGAAGUUGCCCACAGCUUCAACUUGGAUUUGUCCUGUAAACGUUGGAGGUCACUGGAUUUUAGUG
Molecule: long non-coding RNA, 800 nt
Organism: Rhinichthys klamathensis goyatoka
Lineage: Eukaryota; Metazoa; Chordata; Actinopteri; Cypriniformes; Leuciscidae
Exons: 5
Source: RefSeq, a predicted model, not a curated record